Molecule: microRNA, 23 nt
Filed under: Macaca fascicularis (crab-eating macaque)
Lineage: Eukaryota; Metazoa; Chordata; Mammalia; Primates; Cercopithecidae
Description: novel_miR44-3p
Source: RNAcentral
UGCAGCCUGGGUGGAGCCUGACU